Molecule: ribosomal RNA, 400 nt
Filed under: uncultured bacterium
Lineage: Bacteria
Description: bacterial SSU rRNA
Rfam family: Bacterial small subunit ribosomal RNA
Source: RNAcentral
UGGGGAAUUUUGGACAAUGGGCGAAAGCCUGAUCCAGCCAUGCCGCGUGCGGGACGAAGGCCUUCGGGUUGUAAACCGCUUUUGUCCGGAGCGAAACGCUUCGAGCUAACACCUCGGGGUAAUGACGGUACCGGAAGAAUAAGCACCGGCUAACUACGUGCCAGCAGCCGCGGUAAUACGUAGGGUGCAAGCGUUAAUCGGAAUUACUGGGCGUAAAGCGUGCGCAGGCGGUUAUGUAAGUCAGAUGUGAAAUCCCAGGGCUCAACCUUGGAACUGCAUUUGAGACUGCAUGGCUAGAGUGCGUCAGAGGGGGGUGGAAUUCCAUGUGUAGCAGUGAAAUGCGUAGAUAUGUGGAGGAACACCGAUGGCGAAGGCAGCCCCCUGGGAUGACACUGACGCU